Long non-coding RNA from Ochotona princeps (American pika), 661 nucleotides. RefSeq lists it as uncharacterized. NCBI's taxonomy places the organism in Eukaryota, Metazoa, Chordata, Mammalia, Lagomorpha, Ochotonidae. The record is from RefSeq and is a predicted model, not a curated record. The transcript has 3 exons.
CAGCUCUGAAGUGUGUGCAGUGCCAUCGAUUCAAUGCCUCCGGGGUCUGUGAGAGCAAGGAAAGCGUCUGCGAGACCCGGGGCAGUCAGGAGUGCUUCCUACGGAAGGUGUAUGAAGGUGGAAGGCUCCAGUACGGAUACCAGGGCUGUGGGGACCUGUGCAUCCCCAUGUCCUUUUUCACACCCAACACUGAGGUGAUUUUGAAGUGCUGCAGCGACCAUUCUUUCUGUAACAAGUUUUAACCUGAGCCUUCCUGGUCCUCGUCUGUGUUGCGGAGACUGGCCCACAAACCUGCUUCUACUUAGCCAGCUACUGUCAGUUUCACAGCUUAAUCGGCAGCGUGGAUGGGUGGCCCCUACUUUCCAACAGCUCUGCUGUUUCAUCUUUCUCUGACUCUUAGCUGUCUUCCCUGACUCCCCCCAAUCCCGGAUGGGGACUUGUAGCUGCUCACCUUUCCUCUUUUCUCUCCACUCCUUCAAGCAAGAUGUUCUGAGAUGUGCAGCUCUACAGUUAGGCGUUGGUUAGACCGCAGUGCAUGUGGCAGACCUGUCAGGUUAGGGGCUCUGCCAGGCUGGCCAGGGACAAGGGCUCUGGUGUUUUGCAUGGGUGGUAUUCCUAGGAUGGUAUUUUGCAUCAGUCGUAUUCUUAGGGCUUUGGGCUU